UACGUAGGUGGCAAGCGUUGUCCGGAUUUACUGGGCGUAAAGGAUGCGUAGGCGGAUAUAUAAGUCAGAUGUGAAAUACCCGAGCUCAACUUGGGUGCUGCAUUUGAAACUGUAUAUCUAGAGUGCGGGAGAGGUAAGUGGAAUUCCUAGUGUAGCGGUGAAAUGCGUAGAGAUUAGGAAGAACACCCGUGGCGAAAGCGGCUCUCUGGAACGGUACUGACGCUGAGACGCGAAAGCGUGGGGAGCGAACAGG
This 253-nucleotide ribosomal RNA is filed under the name uncultured bacterium. Its description in RNAcentral is "partial 16S ribosomal RNA". It matches the Rfam family "Bacterial small subunit ribosomal RNA", at positions 524 to 776 of the family's 1533-position model. The record is from RNAcentral.